CAGUAGCCACGGUAAUACGAAGGGUGCAAGCGUUAAUCGGAAUUACUGGGCGUAAAGCGUGCGUAGGCGGUUUGUUAAGUUUGCUGUGAAAUCCCCGGGCUCAACCUGGGAAUGGCAGUGGAUACUGGCAAGCUAGAGUGUGUCAGAGGAUGGUGGAAUUCCCGGUGUAGCGGUGAAAUGCGUAGAGAUCGGGAGGAACAUCAGUGGCGAAGGCGGCCAUCUGGGACAACACUGACGCUGAGGCACGAAAGCGUGGGGAGCAAACAGGAUUAGAUACCCCCGUAGUCCCUGUCUCUUAUAC
Molecule: ribosomal RNA, 301 nt
Filed under: uncultured bacterium
Lineage: Bacteria
Description: partial 16S ribosomal RNA
Rfam family: Bacterial small subunit ribosomal RNA
Source: RNAcentral